Molecule: ribosomal RNA, 669 nt
Filed under: uncultured beta proteobacterium
Lineage: Bacteria; Pseudomonadati; Pseudomonadota; Betaproteobacteria
Description: bacterial SSU rRNA
Rfam family: Bacterial small subunit ribosomal RNA
Source: RNAcentral
GUCGAACGGCAGCACGGACUUCGGUCUGGUGGCGAGUGGCGAACGGGUGAGUAAUAUAUCGGAACAUACCCAGUAGUGGGGGAUAACUAUCCGAAAGGAUAGCUAAUACCGCAUACGAUCUGUGGAUGAAAGCAGGGGAUCUUCGGACCUUGUGCUAUUGGAAUGGCCGAUAUCUGAUUAGCUAGUUGGUAGGGUAAAAGCCUACCAAGGCGACGAUCAGUAGCUGGUCUGAGAGGACGACCAGCCACACUGGAACUGAGACACGGUCCAGACUCCUACGGGAGGCAGCAGUGGGGAAUUUUGGACAAUGGGGGCAACCCUGAUCCAGCAAUGCCGCGUGAGUGAAGAAGGCCCUCGGGUUGUAAAGCUCUUUUGUCAGGGAAGAAACGGAGUUCUCUAAUAUAGGAUUCUAAUGACGGUACCUGAAGAAUAAGCACCGGCUAACUACGUGCCAGCAGCCGCGGUAAUACGUAGGGUGCAAGCGUUAAUCGGAAUUACUGGGCGUAAAGCGUGCGCAGGCGGUUUUGUAAGUCUGAUGUGAAAUCCCCGGGCUCAACCUGGGAACUGCAUUGGAGACUGCAAGGCUAGAGUGUGUCAGAGGGGGGUAGAAUUCCACGUGUAGCAGUGAAAUGCGUAGAGAUGUGGAGGAAUACCGAUGGCGAAGGCAGC